This 600-nucleotide ribosomal RNA is filed under the name Pluteus pouzarianus. Its description in RNAcentral is "eukaryotic LSU rRNA". It matches the Rfam family "Eukaryotic large subunit ribosomal RNA", at positions 1 to 600 of the family's 3401-position model. The record is from RNAcentral. Lineage: Eukaryota; Fungi; Basidiomycota; Agaricomycetes; Agaricales; Pluteaceae.
UUGACCUCAAAUCAGGUAGGACUACCCGCUGAACUUAAGCAUAUCAAUAAGCGGAGGAAAAGAAACUAACAAGGAUUCCCCUAGUAACUGCGAGUGAAGCGGGAAAAGCUCAAAUUUAAAAUCUGGCGGUCUCUGGCUGUCCGAGUUGUAAACUAGAGAAGUGUUAUCCGUGCUGGACCAUGUAUAAGUCUCCUGGAACGGAGCGUCAUAGAGGGUGAGAAUCCCGUCUUUGACAUGGACUACCAGUGCAUUGUGAUAUGCUCUCAAAGAGUCGAGUUGUUUGGGAAUGCAGCUCAAAAUGGGUGGUAAAUUCCAUCUAAAGCUAAAUAUUGGCGAGAGACCGAUAGCGAACAAGUACCGUGAGGGAAAGAUGAAAAGAACUUUGGAAAGAGAGUUAAACAGUACGUGAAAUUGUUGAAAGGGAAACGCUUGAAGUCAGUCACAUUGGCUGGAGAUCAACCUUGCUUUUGGAAGGUGUACUCUCUGGUUGAUGGGUCAGCAUCAAUUUUGACCAUUGGAAAAAGGUUAGGGGAAUGUGGCAUCCUUGGAUGUGUUAUAGCCCUUGAUUGUAUACAGUGGUUGGGAUUGAGGAACUCAGCA